AACGAACGCUGGCGGCAUGCCUAACACAUGCAAGUCGAACGAAGGCUUCGGCCUUAGUGGCGCACGGGUGCGUAACGCGUGGGAAUCUGCCCUUUGGUUCGGAAUAACAGCUGGAAACGGCUGCUAAUACCGGAUGAUGACGAAAGUCCAAAGAUUUAUCGCCAGGGGAUGAGCCCGCGUUGGAUUAGGUAGUUGGUGGGGUAAAGGCCUACCAAGCCGACGAUCCAUAGCUGGUCUGAGAGGAUGAUCAGCCACACUGGGACUGAGACACGGCCCAGACUCCUACGGGAAGCAGCAGUGGGGAAUAUUGGACAAUGGGCGCAAGCCUGAUCCAGCAAUGCCGCGUGAGUGAUGAAGGCCCUAGGGUUGUAAAGCUCUUUUACCCGGGAAGAUAAUGACUGUACCGGGAGAAUAAGCCCCGGCUAACUCCGUG
RNAcentral lists this ribosomal RNA (433 nucleotides) under uncultured bacterium. RNAcentral describes it as "partial 16S ribosomal RNA". It matches the Rfam family "Bacterial small subunit ribosomal RNA", at positions 29 to 507 of the family's 1533-position model. The record is from RNAcentral.